CCUACGGGAGGCAGCAGUAAGGAAUAUUGGACAAUGGGCGAAAGCCUGAUCCAGCCAUGCCGCGUGAAGGAUUAAGGCCCUCUGGGUUGUAAACUUCUUUUAUAGGGGACGAAAAAAGGGAAUUCUUUCCCUCCUGACGGUACCCUAUGAAUAAGCACCGGCUAACUCCGUGCCAGCAGCCGCGGUAAUACGGAGGGUGCAAGCGUUAUCCGGAUUCACUGGGUUUAAAGGGUGCGUAGGCGGGUAGGUAAGUCAGUGGUGAAAUCUCGAAGCUUAACUUCGAAACUGCCAUUGAUACUAUUUAUCUUGAAUAUUGUGGAGGUUUGCGGAAUAUGUCAUGUAGCGGUGAAAUGCUUAGAUAUGACAUAGAACACCUAUUGCGAAGGCAGCAGGCUACGCAUAUAUUGACGCUGAGGCACGAAAGCGUGGGGAUCAAACAGGAUUAGAUACCCUGGUAGUCCACGCCCUAAACGAUGAUUACUCGACAUUUGUGAUACACUAUAAGUGUCUGAGCGAAAGCAUUAAGUAAUCCACCUGGGAAGUACGACCGCAAGGUUGAAACUCAAAGGAAUUGACGG
RNAcentral lists this ribosomal RNA (578 nucleotides) under uncultured bacterium. Its description in RNAcentral is "bacterial SSU rRNA". It matches the Rfam family "Bacterial small subunit ribosomal RNA", at positions 338 to 916 of the family's 1533-position model. The record is from RNAcentral.